UACGAAGGGUGCGAGCGUUAUUCGGAUUUACUGGGCGUAAAGGGCGCGUAGGCGGUUUCCUAAGUCACUUGUUAAAGACCACUUAAACCGGUGGGGAUGCGGGUGAAACUGGGAGACUAGAGGGUAGGAGAGAGAAGUGGAAUUCUUGGAGUAGCGGUAAAAUGCGUAGAUCUCAAGAGGAACACCGAUGGCGAAGGCAGCUUCUUGGCCUACUACUGACGCUGAGGCGCGAAAGCGUGGGGAGCAAACAGG
RNAcentral lists this ribosomal RNA (252 nucleotides) under uncultured bacterium. RNAcentral's name for it is "partial 16S ribosomal RNA". It matches the Rfam family "Bacterial small subunit ribosomal RNA", at positions 524 to 776 of the family's 1533-position model. The record is from RNAcentral.